GGGGGGAGGCCAGAUCCUGGGCUGUGUCCCGACGCCCAGUGCUCCCGGGGCCGCGCUAUGGAUUCGCGCUCCGGGCCGCGCAGCCCCCU
This 89-nucleotide microRNA precursor is filed under the name Canis lupus familiaris (dog). RNAcentral describes it as "mir-8799 microRNA precursor family". It matches the Rfam family "mir-8799 microRNA precursor family". Lineage: Eukaryota; Metazoa; Chordata; Mammalia; Carnivora; Canidae. RNAcentral also lists the same sequence under 1 other name. The record is from Rfam by way of RNAcentral.